CAUGCAGUCGAACGGUGAGCCCUUCGGGGUGGAUCAGUGGCGAACGGGUGAGUAACACGUGGGCAAUCUGCCCUGCACUCUGGGACAAGCCCUGGAAACGGGGUCUAAUACCGGAUAUGACCUGAGGAUGCAUGUUCUCGGGUGGAAAGCUCCGGCGGUGCAGGAUGAGCCCGCGGCCUAUCAGCUUGUUGGUGGGGUGAUGGCCUACCAAGGCGACGACGGGUAGCCGGCCUGAGAGGGCGACCGGCCACACUGGGACUGAGACACGGCCCAGACUCCUACGGGAGGCAGCAGUGGGGAAUAUUGCACAAUGGGCGAAAGCCUGAUGCAGCGACGCCGCGUGAGGGAUGACGGCCUUCGGGUUGUAAACCUCUUUCAGCAGGGAAGAAGCGCAAGUGACGGUACCUGCAGAAGAAGCACCGGCUAACUACGUGCCAGCAGCCGCGGUAAUACGUAGGGUGCGAGCGUUGUCCGGAAUUAUUGGGCGUAAAGAGCUCGUAGGCGGCUUGUCGCGUCGGAUGUGAAAGCCCGGGGCUUAACUCCGGGUCUGCAUUCGAUACGGGCAGGCUAGAGUUCGGUAGGGGAGAUCGGAAUUCCUGGUGUAGCGGUGAAAUGCGCAGAUAUCAGGAGGAACACCGGUGGCGAAGGCGGAUCUCUGGGCCGAUACUGACGCUGAGGAGCGAAAGCGUGGGGAGCGAACAGGAUUAGAUACCCUGGUAGUCCACGCCGUAAACGUUGGGAACUAGGUGUGGGCGACAUUCCACGUUGUCCGUGCCGCAGCUAACGCAUUAAGUUCCCCGCCUGGGGAGUACGGCCGCAAGGCUAAAACUCAAAGGAAUUGACGGGGCCCGCACAAGCGGCGGAACAUGUGGCUUAAUUCGACGCAACGCGAA
Molecule: ribosomal RNA, 893 nt
Filed under: Streptomyces sp.
Lineage: Bacteria; Bacillati; Actinomycetota; Actinomycetes; Kitasatosporales; Streptomycetaceae
Description: bacterial SSU rRNA
Rfam family: Bacterial small subunit ribosomal RNA
Source: RNAcentral